This 142-nucleotide ribosomal RNA is filed under the name uncultured eukaryote. RNAcentral's name for it is "partial 18S ribosomal RNA". It matches the Rfam family "Eukaryotic small subunit ribosomal RNA", at positions 1299 to 1458 of the family's 1831-position model. The record is from RNAcentral.
UGGUGGAGUGAUUUGUCUGGUUAAUUCCGUUGACGAACGAGACCUCAGCCUGCUAAAUAGAUAGUCGAAGAGUUCUCUCUUCGUGCUAGACUUCUUAGAGGGACAUUCGGUAUACAGCCGAAGGAAGUUUGAGGCAAUAACA